GAUAGGAUAGCUCAGUUGGUAGAGCAGAGGACCGAAAAUUCUCGUGUGACCAUUUCAAAUCUUGUUCCUGGCA
Molecule: non-coding RNA, 73 nt
Organism: Nicotiana sylvestris (wood tobacco)
Lineage: Eukaryota; Viridiplantae; Streptophyta; Magnoliopsida; Solanales; Solanaceae
Source: Rfam